GCUGCUGCCGACGCUGCUGCUGCUGCUGCUGCUGAUGCUGCUGCUGAUGCUGCUGCUGCUGAUGCUGCUGCUGCUGAUGCUGCUGCUGC
This 89-nucleotide small RNA is filed under the name Drosophila guanche. Lineage: Eukaryota; Metazoa; Arthropoda; Insecta; Diptera; Drosophilidae. The record is from RNAcentral.